AAGCCGCGAAUGGCUCAUUACAACAGCCUUAGUUUAUUUGAUCUUGAAAUCCUACUUGGAUAACUGUGGUAAUUCUAGAGCUAAUACACGCUAAAAAGCUUCAGUCUUUCGACCGAGGCGCAUUUAUUAGUACAAAACCAAUCGGGCCUUGUGCCCGUUGUUUGGUGAAUCUGAAUAACUAAGCCGAUCGUACGGUCUCUGCACCGGCGACGUAUCAUUCAAGUGUCUGCCCUAUCAACUUUCGAUGGUAGUUUAUAUGACUACCAUGGUUAUAACGGGUAACGGAGAAUAAGGGUUCGACUCCGGAGAAGCAGCCUGAGAAACGGCUACUACAUCCAAGGAAGGCAGCAGGCGCGCAAAUUACCCAAUCUCAGCAAGAGGAGGUAGUGACGAGAAAUAACGAGGCGAUGCCCUUAUGGGGCUCGCUAUCGGAAUGAGAACAAUUUAAAACCUUUAACGAGGAUCUAGCGGAGGGCAAGUCUGGUGCCAGCAGCCGCGGUAAUUCCAGCUCCGCUAGUGUAUACCACGAGUACUGCCGUUAAAAAGCUCGUAGUUGGAUCUGCGGCAAUGGGUGUAGGUCCACCUGAUGGGUGCGUACUUACAUCCGUGCCUAUUUUGUCAGUAUUUCACUGUGUUCUCUUCAUCGGGCGCGCAGUGAGACUGACGCUUUUACCUUGAGAAAAUUGGAGUGCUCAGAACAGGCGUCUGCCUGAACAGUUGUGCAUGGAAUAAUGGAAUAGGAUCUUGGUUCUAUUUUGUUGGUUUUAGGGAUUGAGAUAAUGAUUA
Molecule: ribosomal RNA, 786 nt
Filed under: Desmoscolex sp. 6 TJP-2019
Lineage: Eukaryota; Metazoa; Nematoda; Chromadorea; Desmoscolecida; Desmoscolecidae
Description: SSU rRNA
Rfam family: Eukaryotic small subunit ribosomal RNA
Source: RNAcentral